Long non-coding RNA from Mercenaria mercenaria, 970 nucleotides. RefSeq lists it as uncharacterized. The transcript is spliced from 5 exons. Lineage: Eukaryota; Metazoa; Mollusca; Bivalvia; Venerida; Veneridae. The record is from RefSeq and is a predicted model, not a curated record.
AUAAAGUUCCAUUUUUUUGAAAUUUUAUUUUGCUGCAUAACGUUAUGAAAUUCUCAUUAAGUAAAAUAAUUUGAAUCGAGAAAUACACUAUAAAAAACAAAGUGCGACCAUAAUUUUCAUCUUGUUUUAAGCAAAUAAUUUAAAAUUCAUACACAAUAUAUGAAGGAACGUUAUAUCUAAAACUAAUAAUUAAUUUGCUACUUUUCUUUCAGACACUGACGAAAGCAGAUAUUUUAAAGACAGCCAGAUUACUACGAGUCUGGUGCCGUACUACUUUUGUUAAUGGUUACGUUCUCACUAGUAGGACACUAAGUAGCUUACAAGACUUUGUGUGUUUGAUGCCAUUGAGUGACUGCACAUGGACAAAAGCCAUAGGACGGUUAGUGUCGCCACAAGUACCAGUGAAGCUUACAUUGUCAACGUCACAAAUAGUGAACCCAGCAUAGAGACGUAUUACAUCACAGCAUUUUACGUUUACGUUGCUGACGUCAAUAGGAUUAGGAAACGUGUCACCAAAUACUUACGGCGAGGAAAUAUUCUCAACAUUUGCUGUUCUGCUCGGUUCUCGACGAAGUGAGCGGUCUAACUGGCGCAGAAGAACGACUAGAGCGGGACCGCAGAUUGGAGAUGAGCCGUUAUUUAGCCUAUAGUGACAUAAAUACAGCGUUCAAAGACAAAUCAGUGAAAAUUUUCAGCUAUUACAACAAUGUCACAGUUCGUUUCCGGCGGAAAUAACAUAUUAUUCUGGGAAACAUCACACGGUGGAGCGCCCUGUACUAAUCGUCCACAUUCCUUGGAAGCUGAUGAUACAGUGCCACCUGUAAAAGUGAAACAAACGUCACAGUCAAACCUCGUAAAAUCGGCUGCAAACUAAACCAUCAGCAAGGUGCAAGUGCUCAAUGGCAAAGUCACAACAAACAGAUCGAGCCUUUGCCCGGACACAGACGCACAACGCCAGCCGAUACUAGUA